GAUGAACGCUGGCGGCGUGCCUAAUACAUGCAAGUCGAGCGAACGGACGAGAAGCUUGCUUCUCUGAUGUUAGCGGCGGACGGGUGAGUAACACGUGGAUAACCUACCUAUAAGACUGGGAUAACUUCGGGAAACCGGAGCUAAUACCGGAUAAUAUUUUGAACCGCAUGGUUCAAAAGUGAAAGACGGUCUUGCUGUCACUUAUAGAUGGAUCCGCGCUGCAUUAGCUAGUUGGUAAGGUAACGGCUUACCAAGGCAACGAUGCAUAGCCGACCUGAGAGGGAGGGAGGCAACAGUCGAACAGCUACAUGGUCGGGACAACGACGGACGGCAGCAGGAGGGAGGAUUGAUGAAGGUACUAAAGCCUGAAAGAGCUGUGCAGAGUGAAGAAUGAAUGUCUACGUAUCUUUAAACUCUGUUACAACAAAAGAACAAAAGGCCAAGUAACACUCCGUAACAGCACCGGGGGUAAUAGGACGGAAACGCCCCGCCACAAG
RNAcentral lists this ribosomal RNA (497 nucleotides) under uncultured bacterium. RNAcentral describes it as "partial 16S ribosomal RNA". It matches the Rfam family "Bacterial small subunit ribosomal RNA", at positions 28 to 514 of the family's 1533-position model. The record is from RNAcentral.